RNAcentral lists this ribosomal RNA (502 nucleotides) under uncultured bacterium. RNAcentral describes it as "bacterial SSU rRNA". It matches the Rfam family "Bacterial small subunit ribosomal RNA", at positions 24 to 518 of the family's 1533-position model. The record is from RNAcentral.
UCAGGAUGAACGCUAGCGGCAGGCUUAACACAUGCAAGUCGAGGGGCAGCGCGAGUAGCAAUACUUGGCGGCGACCGGCGCAAGGGUGCGUAACGCGUGAGCAACAUGCCCGUAUCAGGGGGAUAAUCCAGGGAAACUUGGUCUAAUACCCCAUAGUAAUUUUGUAAGGCAUCUUAUAAGAUUUAAAGCUUUGGUGGAUACGGAUUGGCUCGCGUGACAUUAGCUGGAUGGUAAGGUAACGGCUUACCAUGGCUAUGAUGUCUAGGGGUUCUGAGAGGAAGGUCCCCCCACACUGGAACUGAGACACGGUCCAGACUCCUACGGGAGGCAGCAGUGAGGAAUAUUGGACAAUGGAUGGAAAUCUGAUCCAGCCAUGCCGCGUGAAGGAAAAGAAGGUCCUAUGGAUUGUAAACUUCUUUUGUAUGGGAGCAAUAAGGCCUACGAGUAGGUUGAUGAGAGUACCAUACGAAUAAGCACCGGCUAACUCCGUGCCAGCCGCUGC